GGGGCUGACCGGUUUCGACGUCGAGUCUGUGACCCCACCGUGCGACCGGAGUUGCUCAGACUCCUUAAACGGGGCACACAAGUAACCGCCGAUGGCGAUUACGCUCUCGCCGCCUGAUCUGAUCAGGUGAUCCGAGAGACACAGCGACCAGCAAUGGCACGCGGGGCCUGACCACGACAGCCCGGCAACAGGAGUCGUGGUGGACGGCGGGAGAGACCGCUGACCGCAGGGAAAGACCGCUGACCGCUCGGAAAGACGAGCCGGUGCCCGAGAGGGCCGCCCACCCGGGGGUGCACCAGCCGUGAAGGUGCGAGCUCGGGAACGGUCGUAGCGCGGUCGGUGAUCGCUUGGCGGACGGGGGUUCGAUUCCCCCCAGCUCCACCA
RNAcentral lists this transfer-messenger RNA (384 nucleotides) under Iamia majanohamensis. It matches the Rfam family "transfer-messenger RNA". From Rfam's summary of the family: Bacterial tmRNA, also known as 10Sa RNA or SsrA, is named for its dual tRNA and mRNA-like properties. Lineage: Bacteria; Bacillati; Actinomycetota; Acidimicrobiia; Acidimicrobiales; Iamiaceae. The record is from RNAcentral.